CGUGAGUGGUGCUUGGCANGUCUGGGUUGGUCGGAUCCCUGCUUGUGCAGCGACGGCCGCUCUUUCGUUCCUUUUCAUUCUUGCUCCAAGAGCAGUAUGCCUUGGACCAACUCGGUUGCCUGUGUUGUAUACCUACGUUGAUGGAAUUCGCUCGUACAAUCGCCCCUAAUUCACCUUGUGCUGCUCACGCGGUGCGGGAUGAACCCUGAAGUGUCCUUUGCUGUCCAUUAUUGCCUCGCGUUUGCGCGUCGCAUGAAAUGGCCAACGUUGUGGCACUCGAAGUCUCGGAUACAGAACCUUAAGCGGGUAAAGGGUCUUUGGCCUCGAUUUGCCCAAACUAAGCGUUCUCGCUUCUUACGAACGACUGUCGUGCCCGUUUUGACCUGAGGAUACUUUCGGUCCGACCGGCUCAUGCGGUGCCGACGUCGAAGAGGAAUGCUACCUGGUUGA
Molecule: unclassified non-coding RNA, 450 nt
Filed under: Plerandra seemanniana
Lineage: Eukaryota; Viridiplantae; Streptophyta; Magnoliopsida; Apiales; Araliaceae
Description: partial contains external transcribed spacer and 18S ribosomal RNA
Source: RNAcentral